Molecule: ribosomal RNA, 678 nt
Filed under: Triticum aestivum (bread wheat)
Lineage: Eukaryota; Viridiplantae; Streptophyta; Magnoliopsida; Poales; Poaceae
Description: partial small subunit ribosomal RNA
Source: RNAcentral
AUGGAAGUCGACAGAGCCCCGGCCGCUGCCGCGGGAGGAGGAUCCUCCUCUGGCGCGAUGGCGGUGGACGCGGCCGGCGGCGUGGAGAAGCCGCGGUUCGACGCGCUGAUGCCAAGCGAGAUGAGCGGCGGGAGGCCACAGUACCGCAAGGUCCAGGUGCCGCCGCACCGCUUCGCGCCGCUGAAGAAGGCGUGGCUGGAGAUCUACACCCCCGUCUACGAGCACAUGAAGGUCGACAUCCGCAUGAACCUCAAGGCAAAAAGGGUCGAGCUGAAGACGAGGCAUGAUACACCAGAUGUGAGCAACCUUCAGAAGUGCGCGGACUUCGUGCAUGCUUUUAUGCUUGGAUUUGACAUUGCCGAUGCCGUUGCCUUGCUUCGUCUUGAUGACCUGUAUGUGGACUCCUUUGAGAUCAAGGAUGUGAAGACACUCAGAGGGGAGCAUCUGUCACGUGCCAUUGGGCGCCUGUCAGGGAAAGGAGGCAAGACCAAGUAUGCCAUCGAGAACUCUACGAGGACUCGCAUAGUUAUCGCUGAUACGAAGAUCCACAUACUUGGAUCCUUUGUUAACAUCAAGGUUGCCAGGGAUUCACUCUGUAGUCUUAUCUUAGGUUCUCCUGCCGGCAAGGUCUAUUCUAAGCUUAGGGCUGUAUCUGCUAGGUUGGCAGAAAGGUAUUAG